Molecule: long non-coding RNA, 464 nt
Organism: Gigantopelta aegis
Lineage: Eukaryota; Metazoa; Mollusca; Gastropoda; Neomphalida; Peltospiridae
Exons: 4
Source: RefSeq, a predicted model, not a curated record
GUAAACGGUGUGAAGUCCUGUUCCGACCCGGAGUCGGCCUUCUAUUAAAACAGCAGAGACAGAGAAAGAGCUUUAUACUGUUACUAUUUACUGGUCUAAACUCGUCAUGAAGUCACUUGUACUCAGUCUGUUGUUGGUAUUUGUGUUGCUCAGUGUUACGUCUAACGCCAUCUCCUGGGGUAAAUAUCGCUGCGGCCCUACAUGUGCAAUUUAUUGUGCGUGCGGCCGUGUGAUGAAGAACGGUUGUCCGACGUGCACCUGCAAACCGUGUACAGUUCCUCGCUAUAAAAGAUGUCUGCCUGUAUGUAAAAUUGGUUGUCUGUGUGGAAAUGUCGUUGUAAACGGCUGUAAAAUCUGCAAGUGUAAACCGUGUAACAAGGGUUAAUUCAGAUGCAGACCACGUGACAAACUGAUGACGUCGAAAGAAUAACGACCGAGAUAAAAAAUAAAAAUAGAAAUAGAAA